AUAGCAUUUUCUUAAUGGCUAAAUUACAAAAAAAAAAUUUCUGUCAAAAUUCGAUUUUUUACUUUUUCUCUCUAUCAUUUAAAAACCUACACUUUGUCUCCCUUCACCCCCUACUGUUAGUGAUUCGUUAGGGUUCCGUUUAUAAAAUAUCAUUAUAUAUUUCUUAUGGCAAAAAUAUUCUCAGUCUUCUCCUGUUGCCAAAAAUGAUAAGGAGUAAAAUGGUCAUUUUGUCCUCACAAUUUAUACCGUACCCCCCUGUGAUCAUUUUUUAUUUUAUAAGAAGGCAAAGUGUAGAUUUUUAAAUGAUAAGAGAGAAAAAUAAAAAAUCGAGUUUUGACAGAAAAGUUUUAUGUAAUUUAGCUUUUUUUUUAAUUUACUGCUCCGAAAGUACUUUGUUAAAUAACACUAAACUCUAAACCAAUC
Molecule: long non-coding RNA, 423 nt
Filed under: Ananas comosus (pineapple)
Lineage: Eukaryota; Viridiplantae; Streptophyta; Magnoliopsida; Poales; Bromeliaceae
Description: long non-coding RNA (ACOM_LNC027209)
Source: RNAcentral